RNAcentral lists this ribosomal RNA (430 nucleotides) under Bacillota bacterium. RNAcentral describes it as "Firmicutes bacterium partial 16S ribosomal RNA". It matches the Rfam family "Bacterial small subunit ribosomal RNA", at positions 355 to 776 of the family's 1533-position model. Lineage: Bacteria; Bacillati; Bacillota. The record is from RNAcentral.
UGGGGAAUAUUGGACAAUGGGCGAAAGCCUGAUCCAGCCAUGCCGCGUGUGUGAAGAAGGCCUUUUGGUUGUAAAGCACUUUAAGCGAGGAGGAGGCUACUUAGAUUAAUACUCUAGGAUAGUGGACGUUACUCGCAGAAUAAGCACCGGCUAACUCUGUGCCAGCAGCCGCGGUAAUACAGAGGGUGCGAGCGUUAAUCGGAUUUACUGGGCGUAAAGCGUGCGUAGGCGGCUUUUUAAGUCGGAUGUGAAAUCCCUGAGCUUAACUUAGGAAUUGCAUUCGAUACUGGGAAGCUAGAGUAUGGGAGAGGAUGGUAGAAUUCCAGGUGUAGCGGUGAAAGGCGUAGAGAUCUGGAGGAAUACCGAUGGCGAAGGCAGCCAUCUGGCCUAAUACUGACGCUGAGGUACGAAAGCAUGGGGAGCAAACAGG